CAGCCGCCGCGGUAAUACGAAGGGGGCUAGCGUUGCUCGGAAUCACUGGGCGUAAAGGGUGCGUAGGUGGAUUUUUAAGUCAGGGGUGAAAUCCUGGAGCUCAACUCCAGAACUGCCUUUGAUACUGGGAAUCUUGAGUUCGGGAGAGGUGAGUGGAACUGCGAGUGUAGAGGUGAAAUUCGUAGAUAUUCGCAAGAACACCAGUGGCGAAGGCGGCUCACUGGCCCGAUACUGACACUGAGGCACGAAAGCGUGGGGAGCAAACAGG
Molecule: ribosomal RNA, 268 nt
Filed under: uncultured prokaryote
Description: partial 16S ribosomal RNA
Rfam family: Bacterial small subunit ribosomal RNA
Source: RNAcentral